This 111-nucleotide ribosomal RNA is filed under the name uncultured bacterium. Its description in RNAcentral is "partial 16S ribosomal RNA". It matches the Rfam family "Bacterial small subunit ribosomal RNA", at positions 1357 to 1482 of the family's 1533-position model. The record is from RNAcentral.
CCGCGGUGAAUACGUUCCCGGGCUUGUACACACCGCCCGUCAAACCACGAAAGUUGGCAGUACCCGAAGUCCCGAGCAAUCGGGCCGAAGGUAAGGUCAGUGAUUGGGGUU